UAUUGCACAAUGGGGGAAACCCUGAUGCAGCGACGCCGCGUGAGCGAAGAAGUAUUUCGGUAUGUAAAGCUCUAUCAGCAGGGAAGAAGAUGACGGUACCUGACUAAGAAGCUCCGGCUAAAUACGUGCCAGCAGCCGCGGUAAUACGUAUGGAGCAAGCGUUAUCCGGAAUUACUGGGUGUAAAGGGAGCGUAGGUGGCAGGGCAAGUCAGAUGUGAAAACCCGGGGCUCAACCCCGGGAGUGCAUUUGAAACUGGCCAGCUGGAGUGCAGGAGAGGUAAGCGGAAUUCCUAGUGUAGCGGUGAAAUGCAUAGAUAUUAGGAGGAACACCAGUGGCGAAGGCGGCUUACUGGACUGUAACUGACACUGAGGCUCGAAAGCGUGGGGAGCAAACAGG
RNAcentral lists this ribosomal RNA (397 nucleotides) under uncultured bacterium. Its description in RNAcentral is "bacterial SSU rRNA". It matches the Rfam family "Bacterial small subunit ribosomal RNA", at positions 362 to 776 of the family's 1533-position model. The record is from RNAcentral.